RNAcentral lists this ribosomal RNA (482 nucleotides) under uncultured bacterium. Its description in RNAcentral is "bacterial SSU rRNA". It matches the Rfam family "Bacterial small subunit ribosomal RNA", at positions 19 to 518 of the family's 1533-position model. The record is from RNAcentral.
CUGGCUCAGGAUUAACGCUGGCGGCGUGCCUAAUACAUGCAAGUCGAAUGGUAGUAGCAAUACAAACCAUGGCGAACGGGUGAGUAACACGUAGGCAACCCAACUUUAAGACGAGGAUAACCGUUGGAAACGACGGAUAAUACUGGAUAGGACAUCACGAAGGGCAUCCUUAGAUGUUUAAAGGUUACCAUGCCACUUAGAGAGGGGCCUGCGGCGCAUUAGCUAGUUGGUGAGAUAACAGCCCACCAAGGCGAUGAUGCGUAGCCGGACUGAGAGGUUGAACGGCCACAACGGAACUGAGAACGGUCCAUACUCCUACGGGAGGCAGCAGUAGGGAAUUUUCGGCAAUGGGCGGAAGCCUGACCGAGCAACGCCGCGUGAACGAAGAAGUUAUUCGUAAUGUAAAGUUCUUUAUCUGGGAAGAAAAACAAAUUGACGGUACCAGAUGAAUAAGCUCCGGCUAACUACGUGCCAGCCGCUGC